GAUGAAGAACGUAGCGAAAUGCGAUAAGUAAUGCGAAUUGCAGAAUUUCCGUGAGUCAUCGAAUCUUUGAACGCACAUUGCGCCCCUUGGUAUCCCGAGGGGCAUGCCUGUUCGAGCGUCAUUUCACCACUCAAGCCUGGCUUGGUGUUGGGCGACGUCCUCUUUGGGGACGCGCCUCGAAACGCUCGGCGGCGUGGCACCGGCUUUAAGCGUAGCAGAAUCUUUCGCUUUGGAAGUCGGGGCCCCGUCUGCCGGAAGACCUGCUCGCAAGGUUGACCUCGGAUCAGGCAGGGAUACCCGCUGAACUUAAGCAUAUCAAUAAGCGGAGGA
This 330-nucleotide unclassified non-coding RNA is filed under the name soil metagenome. RNAcentral's name for it is "partial contains 5.8S ribosomal RNA, internal transcribed spacer 2, and large subunit ribosomal RNA". The stretch from base 1 to 121 matches the Rfam family "5.8S ribosomal RNA", at positions 35 to 154 of the family's 154-position model. The record is from RNAcentral.